Rattus norvegicus (Norway rat) is the source of this 1480-nucleotide non-coding RNA. NCBI's taxonomy places the organism in Eukaryota, Metazoa, Chordata, Mammalia, Rodentia, Muridae. The record is from RefSeq and is a predicted model, not a curated record.
CAGGGAACACAGAGGAACUGGCAUGAGGACCUUAAGCAAAGUGGGUCGAGGGUGCAUGAGGAGGGGGAUCUGGCUGGACAGAGUUCAGCUAGCUUCAGAGUCUGUAUUUGGGACCCCAGCAUCCCUCUCUGGUCAUCUGGCUCCAACCCAAGGACCUCUUCUGCUUCAUUGAGUCCAUCUGCCCACAGACCUUCCUCUUUUGUGACUUUGGCGUCACAGCGCAAAGGGCUGAGCCUUACAACCACACAGAGAACUCAAUAGCUAAGAGAGGAGAGGAGCCAGGGAGGUGUGGGCCAGUGGAUUAGCUGGAAGUCUGUGAAGCAGAGGUACCCAGGGUUAUGGCUGACGCCAUCACCUAUGCAGACCUGCGCUUUGUGAAAGUGCCCUUGAAGAACAACGCGUCUAACCAUUCAGGACAGGACUGUGAGGCCUAUGAGGAUGGGGAACUCACCUACGAGAAUGUGUCUCCAGUCCCGGGAGGGCCGCCAGGCUUGGUUUCCCCUGCACUAGCGGACAAAGCAGGGGUCAGGUCAGAGCAACCAACUGCGUCCUGGAGCUCCGUGAAGUCAUCUGCUCUCGGGCAGAUUCUCCGCUGUCCCACAGUCUGUUUGCAAUACUCCUUGCUUGGCCUUCUCCUCGCCUGUCUGAUGUUAGGGGUGGCUAUCAUCUGCCUGGGAGUUCGCUAUCUGCAGGUGUCUCAGCAGUUCGAGCAGGUGAGCAGGAUUUGGGAAGCCACCAACAGCAGCUUGCAGCAGCAGCUCAGGGAGGAGAAAAGACAGCUGAAGCAGAAGGUGGAGGAUCUUCGGGAGUCUCGGAGAGAGCUGAACUCGACGCAGGACACAUUUCAGGAGAAGCAGAAGAUGUAUGAGGUCACUAAGCAGCAACUACAGGACUGCCAGGCUGAGAGUCAGAGGACCAAGGAGAGCUUGAAAACUGAGGAGCAGCGGAGGCAGGACCUGGACCAGAGUUUGAGGAACACGCGGGACACUCUGAGACGCUUGUCCUCCUGUUCGUCAGGUCCGAUUCUCAUUCUCAAAGCUCAUGUUACCUGAUAAAAUGUUACCAUUCAUGGUGGUAUGAAAGCUCAUACACGUGUACAGACCUUUUCCCCUGCAUUUGUGAGCUGGAGGCGCUCAGGUUUCCUGAUGGGAUCCAUCUGAACUGAAAUGGACACUUCAACAAGACCUUGUGACCUACAUCCUUAACCUAUGGCCUGCCAAUUCUCAAGACUGCUAUUCCUCCAGCACUCCCUCACUCUUGGGCACGCCCAGCUAAGGGCUGAUUCUGGUCUGGCGACCUGCUGCUUGCUUGAAAGCUGCUCCAGAAACUAUUCUUGGGAAGAGUAAAGAAGCCUCCAGAAAAGACUUUGACCUUCCUUAAGAACUUCCCGAACUAGAGAUGGGUCAGGGGAGGGCGCUCCGCUGAGUGGAUGGAUGGCCCGGAGCCAGCCAGGCAGUUUUAUUGAAAUAUUUUUAAAUAA